Long non-coding RNA from Topomyia yanbarensis, 1717 nucleotides. RefSeq lists it as uncharacterized. The transcript is spliced from 4 exons. The record is from RefSeq and is a predicted model, not a curated record. Lineage: Eukaryota; Metazoa; Arthropoda; Insecta; Diptera; Culicidae.
ACCCAUAACUCUGGAAUCGGAAAUCGGAUCGAGAUGAAAUUUAAUAGCCAUUUAAGGGGAUAAAACACCUUUCAUUUGAGACCAAGUUUGGUCGAAUCUCCGAAAAACCAAUGAGACUGUAACUCUUAAUUUGGAUACUUCCGCCGGGGCUUCCGGAACCGACGAUGGUGGCCAAUGUGACCAAAGAGACUUUGAAUGGCUGUUAGUGACCUAGUACUACAAAUCUAAGUAGAUGUGGCACCAGUUUGAAAAAGUUUUCACCUUUAUACAUUCAUUACAGAAUUUUUUAAAAUCAACAUUUUCUGCGUGAUCGUACUCUUCACUCUGUAACUCCUGAACCGGAAGUCAGAUCCAUUAUAAAUUCAAUAGCAGCCUACAGGAUACACGUUUCAUUUGAGACUAAGUUUAUGAAAAUCGGUUCAGCCAUCUCUGAGAAAAGUGAGUGAGAUUGUGGUCACAUACACACAGAGAAUUGACGGACUGAAUCGAAUGGUAUAUGUCACUCGAGCCUCCGGGUCUCCGUUGAAAAGACGGUUUUCAGAGCAGUUUUUCUAUUGAGAAAGGCAAAACGUAAAUCGUACGAACAAGUUAUAGCAAAUAGUGAUACAUUUAACACUUUUAUAAUGAGUGGCUCAUGUCCCUUCAGAUUUGACCGCACUUACCGCUUGAUGACGUCCCAGUUUGAUAUUUCUUUUGAGUGGUUUGAGAAAACUGAGAAAACGAAAAUCGUCAACGCAGGCCUGGAUACGGUUAAAGAAAUAUAAACAAAUUUUGGUAGCCUCGCAUCGUUUUCCGGAGCAGUUGGAUAUCAUUGUCAUCAAUACCCCCAGGGUUGCAAAAUUGAUUCGGUUCUGUGACUCCGAAUCUAAAGAAUAUGGCGUGCGACAUCGAAGAAUUUAUUCCGUGCAUUUUAGGUCGUCUUGUUUCAAACACCUAUUAAAUCUAUCUAAAGGGAAAAUGUUGCAAAAUUACACAAACUAAAAAUUAAAAAUUGACGCGUUUCGUUUUGCAGAUGAUGAUCGAGUUGCACUUUUUGUUGCCAACGAACGGAAAACAAAUAAAUAAUUGAAGAAAUUUUUCUCCUCAAAAUAUUUGAUUAUUUCUGCUGCCUCUGCACUCCUUGCUGUCGUUCGAUUCCGUUCACGUGGCUUCGACGUGCUGCCUCGAGGAUCGGCAACUCGUUGGUAGCGAGCCGCGUGGCUUGUUUCGAUAUUCCACCUGUUGCUAUGGGCCUUGGUUGCCUCUAGAUGACCUCGCAUCUGCGUGGUGACUUCAGGAAACUAUUCAGUCAUGUCAAACUGAGGCUUCCAAUAGUCAACACCGGUGAAACAACGUCAUCUCGGUUAUUGACUUCAGAUACAUCGAGCAAUACGGAACAUUUGAACAAGACUGUAGCUUACCCGAGCUCCGAGCCACUACAAUUCCAUUUGACUUCAGUCAUACCGGCUGGAAUAUAAUAUAGAAUUCUGGCUGUCUAAGAGACAAGUAUUUUAAUUGUGCAUUCAUUUUUAUUUGUUUUUUGUUGAUGAUUAAUUCAUUUCAAAUAUAUUUGUAGUUGGAACUGUGGCCACAUUUGCAAUUAUGGUGCCACUGACAUAUGAGCAAGCGUAUGGGGGAUAGACCACUAGUGAAUAAUUGUUCUUAAACCUGAGGGGUAACCACCCAUAUUGAUGGUGGUUUUAAGUGUUUUGUUACCAGCCACCAUCUUGGAUUUCAA